UUUUAUUUGAGAGUUUGAUCCUGGCUCAGGAUGAACGCUGGCGGCGUGCCUAACACAUGCAAGUUGAGCGAUUUACUUCGGUAAAGAGCGGCGGACGGGUGAGUAACGCGUGGGUAACCUACCCUGUACACACGGAUAACAUACCGAAAGGUAUGCUAAUACGGGAUAAUAUAUUUGAGAGGCAUCUCUUGAAUAUCAAAGGUGAGCCAGUACAGGAUGGACCCGCGUCUGAUUAGCUAGUUGGUAAGGUAACGGCUUACCAAGGCGACGAUCAGUAGCCGACCUGAGAGGGUGAUCGGCCACAUUGGAACUGAGACACGGUCCAAACUCCUACGGGAGGCAGCAGUGGGGAAUAUUGCACAA
RNAcentral lists this ribosomal RNA (363 nucleotides) under Clostridioides difficile. RNAcentral's name for it is "bacterial SSU rRNA". It matches the Rfam family "Bacterial small subunit ribosomal RNA", at positions 1 to 371 of the family's 1533-position model. The record is from RNAcentral. Lineage: Bacteria; Bacillati; Bacillota; Clostridia; Peptostreptococcales; Peptostreptococcaceae.